AAUGGCUGCAGUAAUUUGACUGUACAAAGGUAGCAUAAUCAUUAGUUUUUUAAUUAAAAGCUUGUAUGAAAGGUUGGACGAAGAAAAAUCUGUCUCUUUUUAAUAUAAUUAGAAUUUAAUUUUUAAGUCAAAAAGCUUAAAUUUUUAUUAAAGACGAGAAGACCCUAUAGAGUUUAAUAAUUUAUUUAUAGUAAUUAAUUUAGAUUAUUUAAUUUUAUUAUAAUUUAAUUAUUUUAUUGGGGUAAUAAAAAGAUUUAUGAAAUUCUUUUUUUUUUUUUACAUAAAUUUAUGAAAGUUUGAUCCAUUAUUAAUGAUUAUAAGAUUAAAUUACCUUAGGGAUAACAGCGUAAUUUUUUUGGAGAGUUCUUAUCGAUAAAAAAGUUUGCGACCUCGAUGUUGGAUUAAAGAUUAAUUUAGGUGUAGAAGUUUAAAUUUUUGGUCUGUUCGACCAUUAAAUCUUUACAUGAUCUGAGUUCAAACCGGUGUGAGCCAGGUUGGUUUCUAUCUUUAUAAAAUUUUUAUAUUUUAGUACGAAAGGACCAAAUAUAAUAUAUAUUAAUAUUUAAAUUUUGAAUAU
RNAcentral lists this ribosomal RNA (577 nucleotides) under Trechus ovatus. RNAcentral's name for it is "partial 16S ribosomal RNA". The stretch from base 338 to 496 matches the Rfam family "Bacterial large subunit ribosomal RNA", at positions 2473 to 2632 of the family's 2925-position model. Lineage: Eukaryota; Metazoa; Arthropoda; Insecta; Coleoptera; Carabidae. The record is from RNAcentral.